AUGAAUUCCCACCCCAAAAUUUGCAAUUCUACCUCAAAAUUCUCAAUUCCCACCCCAAAAUCCUCAAUCCCCACCCCAAAAUUCUCAAUUCUUGCCACAAAAUCCUCAAUUUCUCAAAAUUCUCAAUUCCCACCCAAAAAUUCUCAAUUCCUACUCCAAAAUUCUCAAUUUCGCCCCAAAAUUUUAAUUUUCUCCCCAAAAUUCUCAAUUCCCGCCCCCAAAUCCCUUCUAUUCCCCCCCAAAAUUCCUUUUUUAGCCCCAAAUCCUUCAUUUCUCCCUCAAAACCCCACCCAAAUUAUCCUUUCACUCCAAUUCCCACCCCAAAUUCUCCUUUUCUUCCCUCAAAUCCUUUUCAAAAUCCCAAAUUCUCCUUUUCUUCCCCCAAAUCCUUCCCAGAACCCAAAAUUCUCCUUUUCUUCCCCCAAAUCCUUUUCAGAACCCAAAAUCCCAAAUUCUAACCCCAAAUUUUCCUUUUCUUGCCCGAAAUCCUUUCCAGAACCCCAAAUUCUCCUUUUCUUCCCCAAAUCCCCUCCCUGCACCCCAAAUUUCCCUUUUCUUUCCCCAAACCCCUCCCAGAACCCAAAAUCCCAAAUUCUAACCCCAAAUUUUCCUUUUCUUCCCUCAAAUCCUUCCCAGAACCCCAAAUUCUCCUUUUCUUCCCCAAAUCCCCUCCCAAAACCCCAAAUUCUCUUUUUCUUCCCCAAAUCCCCUCCCUGCACCCCAAAUUUUCCUUUUCUUCCCCCAAACCCUUUCGAGAACCCCAAAUUUUCCUUUUCUUUCCCCAAAUCCUCUCCCCGCACCCCAAACCCCCCCGAUCUCCCCCAAAUCCUCCUUUUCUUCCCCCAAACCCUUUCCAGAACCCCAAAUUUUCCUUUUCUUCCCCCAAACCCCUCCCAGAACCCCAAAUCCUCCUUUUCUACCCCCAAAUCCUUUCGAGAACCCCAAAUUUUCCUUUUCUUCCCCCAAACCCUUUCCAGAACCCCAAAUUUUCCUUUUCUUCCCCCAAACCCUUUCCAGAACCCCAAAUUCUCCUUUUCUUCCCCCAAAUCCCCUCCCCGCACCCCAAACCCCCCCGAUUUCCCCCAAAUCCUCCUUUUCUCCCCCCAAACCCUUUUGAGAACCCCAAAUCCUCCUUUAAUUCCCCCAAACCCUUCCCAGAACCCCAAAUUUUCCUUUUCUUCCCCCAAAUCCCCUCCCCGCACCCCAAAUCCUCUCCCCGCACCCCAAACCCCCCCGAUCUCCCCCAAAUCCUCCUUUUAUUCCCCCAAACCCUUCCCAGAACCCCAAAUUUUCCUUUUCUUCCCCCAAAUCCCCUCCCCGCACCCCAAAUGCUCCUUUUCUUCCCCCAAAUCCCCUCCCCGCACCCCAAAUCCUCUCCCCGCACCCCAAACCCCCCCCGAUCUCCCCCAAAUCCUCCUUUUCUCCCCCCAAACCCUUUCCAGAACCCCAAAUUUUCCUUUUCUUCCCCCCAAUCCCCUCCCAGAACCCCAAAUCCUCCUUUUCUUCCCCCAAACCCUUUCGAGAACCCCAAAUUUUCCUUUUAUUCCCCCAAAUCCCCUCCCUGCACCCCAAAUCCUCCUUUUCUUCCCCCAAACCCUUUCCAGAACCCCAAAUCCCCUCCAUGAACCCCAAAUCUCCUCAAUCGCCCCCAAAUUCUCAUUUUCUUCUCCCAAAUCCCCUCAAACUCCCCCAAAUCCUCUCCCCGCACCCCAAAUUUUCCUUUUCUUCCCCCAAAUCCUUUCCAGAACCCAAAAUCCCAAAUUCUAACCCCAAAUUCUCCUUUUCUUCCCCAAAUCCCCUCCCAGAACCCCAAAUCCUCCUUUUCUUCCCCCAAAUCCUUUUCAGAACCCCAAAUUUUCCUUUUCUUCCCCAAAAUCCCCUCCCUGCAUCCCAAAUUUUCAUUUUCUUUCCCCAAAUCCUCUUCAGAACCCAAAAUCCCAAAUUCUAACCCCAAAUUUUCCUUUUCUUCCCCAAAUCCUUUUCAGAAUCCCAAAUUCUCAUUUUCUUCCCCCAAAUCCCCUCCCAGAACCCCAAAUUUUCCUUUUAUUCCCCCCAAUCCCCUCCCCACACCCCAAAUCCCCUCAA
This 2085-nucleotide long non-coding RNA is filed under the name Taeniopygia guttata (zebra finch). Its description in RNAcentral is "lncRNA (ENSTGUG00000024199.1)". The record is from RNAcentral. Lineage: Eukaryota; Metazoa; Chordata; Aves; Passeriformes; Estrildidae.